Long non-coding RNA from Numida meleagris (helmeted guineafowl), 2259 nucleotides. RefSeq lists it as uncharacterized. The transcript is spliced from 5 exons. Lineage: Eukaryota; Metazoa; Chordata; Aves; Galliformes; Numididae. The record is from RefSeq and is a predicted model, not a curated record.
UCACAUCUGCUCUGCAGUGCCUGACUAUCAGAGAGCCCUUGUUCUGGCUGCCAGAUUAGUCCCUUUGGGUUAGCUGCUGCAGGAAACAAAGUAGAAUUUUAAGUUAUGAAAAGGCAUGCUUUGGCUCCACUAGUUGAGAAGUUGUAAGGAUGGUUGACAGCUGACAUAUUCUACCUCCCUCGUGUUGAUCUCUCUUGCAGUACUCUCUGGAAAAAAAAACAAAAAGGCAACAUCAAAUAGGAGGAAAAAAAUAAAAACAAGGAGCCCAGUAUGAAACUUAUUUAUGUACUCAAGAUGGAAACGAACCCCAGAAGACUACAAACUCCUUCCUUGUCAUGGGAAUCCAUGGAACCACCACCAACCUGGAACUCUGGAACCAGAGACAAAACAUUCAGAUAGGAAUCUAUCCCGUUCAUCUCCAAAAACGACCUGCUGCUGACCAAAGCUGAGCCGGUCGAAGUCUGAAAAUAGGUACAGAGCCGUCCACCCUGCUCAAGCUUUCCCCUUCCAUAAUAGCCUCAGAAAUUUUCCUGUAAUAUAUCUUUUUGGUCUUUGAAUAUAUGACUGCAUCCUCAACACAAUAAAGCUCAUGUAUUAUCUUAGUGUAAUGGAAAUCCCAUAUCGAGCAUUGUCAAGAAUACCCUAUCAUGUCCCAUCAAGUCCUAAUUGGCUUGGUGAAACUAAAAGUUAAAUACUGAAGGAUAGUGCAGUUGUUGAGCAAAGUCCCUCAUGAUCCUUGUGCUUUUCACUUGUUCUCUAUCUGCUCACCAGAUGUUUCCUACUGAAAUUAAUUUUUAAUGUGAUGUCACAUGCAUAUAAAACUGAAUUUUAAAAAAAUUGCUAACACUAUCAAAACUUCUUUUUAGCUGCUGUUAGUAAGAAUAUUCACUGUUGUCCUAGUAUUGUCCUGUAUUUGUCCAGAUCCAAUGAAUCUCCGUAUUUUUAUGCAAAGUAUUGAGAUACACUAUAUAGUGAAUUAUAUAAAUAUGAAACAUUUGUGAUUUGGUUGGUCUUUUUAAUCCUGAGUGCUGCUUCAGAUUUUAAGAGAAGUUCACUUUCCACAGAUCAGCCAAGAGUAUGGAGAAAAAAAAAUAAAUGACAAAUAUAGUUUAAUGCUAUAGGUCUAUUUUCACUGUCUUCUCCAGAGAAAAUCAAUUCUCCUUCUUAGACAAGAAGAUGUUUAAACAUAGUUCUGGUAAAUUGUAGUGCUCCCCUUGGCCUUUGCUUCUUUCUCUCCUUUUUCUUUACCACCUCCUCCUUCUCUUUCCCUGUUAUUGCCAGUACAGUGGAAAAAUAUUACUGCAGUCUAUGAUAUUGCAAGUCUGUCUAUUCAAGAUAUUUCACCUUUUGAAUUGUUGUGCACAAAAAUAUUUGCACUGCUGUAUGUUCCAAAAAGCAACCAUAGAAAACAAAAUCUGUCAGGUCGGCGAGUCACAGUACUUUUAUUGUACAACAGAACUUGCCAAACUCUCUGAAGCACUUCAGUUGGUGAAAAAAGUGAUUUAUUGAUAGAGAAAAUUGAUCCUUACAAUAUUCUUAAUAUAUGCUCUUGGGCAGUGCAAGUGUCAGCCAGCUACAGAUCUAAUCCAUAGUUACUCAAAGACAGAAUAAGACUAUUAGCUAUUUUAGCCUGCAAGUUUUCUUGUGAAAUUCAGAUUGUUGUUUCCUCUCUUCUAUGGUCCCUUAGCAGUACUUUGUAGAAUCUUAAGUGACUUAUUUCUUUUAACCUCUUCACACCUCUGAGAGGUCUCAUUUAUUGCCACUUAUUUUUUCUAAGAAUAAAAUUAAUAUUCCUUUAAAAAAUUUUAUUUUAUGGAUUGUUUACUUCCCAAAGAACUGAAAAUCAAACAUUGCUUUCAUAAGUAUUGCAGGAUCCAAAGGUUUAUAGCAGAGAUUUUAGGGGAGGUUUCUUUGAGAGAGACAACAAGAAUAGAUCCAUAAAUAAGAAGUUUCAAAAAAGGCAACAGAAUACAUUGAGUAAAGCAAAGUCUCAAAAAGCCUUUAAAAAAUGUCUUGCUCAAUGCAUAAAGAUAUUAAUUAAAAAAGCUUUUGUCAUAUAAAUGUGUGAGAGGUAUCAAGAAAGGAACCUUUAGCUCAAGGUUAACUUUUUGUGUGAGUGGAUCAUCAGAUAACCAAAUUUGUAAGCUAAAGAAUGGUGACAAAAGUACAUAAAAAUAAAAGCCUUGUGAAAAAAAAAGAAAAACUUACCUUCUUCUAGGUGUAAUAUGUGAACAAGAUAAAACUGAUUUUAUUAAUGAA